This 2713-nucleotide long non-coding RNA is filed under the name Salmo salar (Atlantic salmon). RNAcentral describes it as "lncRNA (ENSSSAG00000097964.1)". Lineage: Eukaryota; Metazoa; Chordata; Actinopteri; Salmoniformes; Salmonidae. The record is from RNAcentral.
GGCAGACGUACACACUAAGUAACUAUAGGCAGACAUAUACACUCUAAGUAACUAUAGGCAGACGUACACACUAAGUAACUAUAGGCAGACGUAUACACACUAAGUAACUAUAGGCAGACGUACACACUAAGUAACUAUAGGCAGACGUAUACACACUAAGUAACUAUAGGCAGACGUACACACUAAGUAACUUUAGGCAGACGUACACACUAAGUAACUAUAGGCAGACGUACACACUAAGUAACUAUAGGCAGACGUAUACACACUAAGUAACUAUAGGCAGACGUACACACUAAGUAACUAUAGGCAGACGUAUACACUCUAAGUAACUAUAGGCAGACGUACACACUAAGUAACUAUAGGCAGACGUACACACUCGAAGUAACUAUAGGCAGACGUAUACACUCUAAGUAACUAUAGGCAGACGUACACACUAAGUAACUAUAGGCAGACAUAUACACUCUAAGUAACUAUAGGCAGACGUACACACUAAGUAGCUAUAGGCAGACGUACACACUCUAAGUAACUAUAGGCAGACGUAUACACACUAAGUAACUAUAGGCAGACGUACACACUAAGUAAAGAUAGGCAGACGUACACACUAAGUAACUAUAGGCAGACGUAUACACACUAAGUAACUAUAGGUAGACGUACACACUAAAUAACUAUAGGCAGACGUAUACACACUAAGUAACUAUAGGCAGACGUGUACACACUAAGUAACUAUAGGCAGACGUACACACUAAGUAACUUUAGGCAGACGUACACACUAAGUAACUAUAGGAAGACGUACACACUAAGUAACUAUAGGCAGACGUACACACUAAGUAACUUUUGGCAGACGUAUACACACUAAGUAACUAUAGGCAGACGUACACACUAAGUAACUAUAGGCAGACGUAUACACACUAAGUAACUAUAGGCAGACGUACACACUAAGUAACUUUAGGCAGACGUAUACACACUAAGUAACUUUAGGCAGACGUACACACUAAGUAACUAUAGGCAGACGUAUACACACUAAGUAACUAUAGGCAGACGUAUACACACUAAGUAACUAUAGGCAGACGUACACACUAAGUAACUAUAGGCAGACGUAUACACACUAAGUAACUAUAGGCAGACGUACACACUAAGUAACUUUAGGCAGCCGUACACACUAAGUAUCUAUAGGCAGACGUAUACACACUAAGUAACUAUAGGCAGACGUACACACUAAGUAACUUUAGGCAGACGUAUACACACUAAGUAACUAUAGGCAGACGUACACACUAAGUAACUAUAGGCAGACGUAUACACACUAAGUAACUAUAGGCAGACGUACACACUAAGUAACUAUAGGCAGACGUAUACACUCUAAGUAACUAUAGGCAGAUGUGCACACUAAGUAACUAUAGGCAGACGUAUACACACUAAGUAACUAUAGGCAGACGUACACACUAAGUAACUAUAGGCAGACGUAUACACUCUAAGUAACUAUAGGCAGACGUAUACACUCUAAGUAACUAUAGGCAGACGUAUACACACUAAGUAACUAUAAUCAGACGUAUACACACUAAGUAACUAUAAGCAGACGUAUACACUCUAAGUAACUAUAGGCAGAUGUGCACACUAAGUAACUAUAGGCAGACGUAUACACACUAAGUAACUAUAGGUAGACGUACACACUAAGUAACUAUAGGCAGACGUAUACACACUAAGUAACUAUAGGCAGACGUACACACUAAGUAACUAUAGGCAGACGUAUACACUAAGUAACUUUAGGCAGACGUACACACUAAGUAACUAUAGGCAGACGUACACACUAAGUAACUAUAGGCAGACGUACACACUCAAAGUAACUAUAGGCAGACGUAUACACUCUAAGUAACUAUAGGCAGACGUACACACUAAGUAACUAUAGGCAGACGUACACACUCUAAGUAACUAUAGGCAGACGUAUACACACUAAGUAACUAUAGGCAGACGUACACACUAAGUAAAGAUAGGCAGACGUACACACUAAGUAACUAUAGGCAGACGUAUACACACUAAGUAACUAUAGGUAGACGUACACACUAAAUAACUAUAGGCAGACGUACACACUAAAUAACUAUAGGCAGACGUGUACACACUAAGUAACUAUAGGCAGACGUGUACACACUAAGUAACUAUAGGCAGACGUACACACUAAGUAACUUUAGGCAGACAUACACUCUAAGUAACUAUAUGCAGAUGUGCACACUAAGUAACUUUAGGCAGACGUAUACACACUAAGUAACUAUAGGCAGUCGUAUACACUCUAAGUAACUAUAGGCAGACGUAUACACACUAAGUAACUAUAUGCAGACGUAUACACUCUAAGUAACUAUAGGCAGACAUGUACACACUCUAAGUAACUAUAGGCAGACGUACACACUAAGUAACUAUAGGCAGACGUACACACUCAAAGUAACUAUAGGCAGACGUACACACUAAGUAACUAUAGGCAGACGUAUACACUCUAAGUAACUAUAGGCAGACGUACACACUAAGUAACUAUAGGCAGACGUACACACUCUAAGUAACUAUAGGCAGACGUAUACACACUAAGUAACUAUAGGCAGACGUACACACUAAGUAAAGAUAGGCAGACGUACACACUAAGUAACUAUAGGCAGACGUAUACACACUAAGUAACUAUAGGCAGACGUACACACUAAGUAACUAUAGGCAGACGUACACACUAAGUAAC